AGUGAACGCUGGCGGCAGGCUUAACACAUGCAAGUCGAGCGGGAGUCCUUGUGGUGUCUGCGGCAGCCGGGUGCGUAACGCGUGGGAACGUGCACUUCGGUUCGGACUACCUUUGGGUGACUUGUGCUAAUAGCGGAUACGUGCGAGAGCAGAAAGGUUUAUCUGCCGAAGGAUCGGGCCGCGUCUGAUUUGCUAGUUGGUAAGGUUACGGCUCACCAAUGCCUCGAUGACUAGCUGGUAUCAGAGGAAGAUCAGACACACUGGGACUGCGACACGGUCGAGACUACUGCGGGAGGCAGCAGUGGGUAAUAUAGGAAUACGGGGGCAACCCUGAAGCAGCCAGGGUGCGUGAGUGAUGUCGGUCUGAGGGAAGAGAAGCUCUUUUCUACGGGGCGGUAAUGACGGUACCGGAAGAAUAAGCCCCGGCUAACUUCGUG
RNAcentral lists this ribosomal RNA (437 nucleotides) under uncultured bacterium. RNAcentral describes it as "partial 16S ribosomal RNA". It matches the Rfam family "Bacterial small subunit ribosomal RNA", at positions 29 to 507 of the family's 1533-position model. The record is from RNAcentral.